AGUGGCGAACGGGUGAGUAACACGUGGGUAACCUGCCCAUCAGAAGGGGAUAACACUUGGAAACAGGUGCUAAUACCGUAUAACAAUCGAAACCGCAUGGUUUUGAUUUGAAAGGCGCUUUCGGGUGUCGCUGAUGGAUGGACCCGCGGUGCAUUAGCUAGUUGGUGAGGUAACGGCUCACCAAGGCCACGAUGCAUAGCCGACCUGAGAGGGUGAUCGGCCACAUUGGGACUGAGACACGGCCCAAACUCCUACGGGAGGCAGCAGUAGGGAAUCUUCGGCAAUGGACGAAAGUCUGACCGAGCAACGCCGCGUGAGUGAAGAAGGUUUUCGGAUCGUAAAACUCUGUUGUUAGAGAAGAACAAGGAUGAGAGUAACUGUUCAUCCCUUGACGGUAUCUAACCAGAAAGCCACGGCUAACUACGUGCCAGCAGCCGCGGUAAUACGUAGGUGGCAAGCGUUGUCCGGAUUUAUUGGGCGUAAAGCGAGCGCAGGCGGUUUCUUAAGUCUGAUGUGAAAGCCCCCGGCUCAACCGGGGAGGGUCAUUGGAAACUGGGAGACUUGAGUGCAGAAGAGGAGAGUGGAAUUCCAUGUGUAGCGGUGAAAUGCGUAGAUAUAUGGAGGAACACCAGUGGCGAAGGCGGCUCUCUGGUCUGUAACUGACGCUGA
RNAcentral lists this ribosomal RNA (669 nucleotides) under Enterococcus sp. FBPers-11_16-15. Its description in RNAcentral is "bacterial SSU rRNA". It matches the Rfam family "Bacterial small subunit ribosomal RNA", at positions 94 to 749 of the family's 1533-position model. The record is from RNAcentral. Lineage: Bacteria; Bacillati; Bacillota; Bacilli; Lactobacillales; Enterococcaceae.